This 633-nucleotide ribosomal RNA is filed under the name Triticum aestivum (bread wheat). RNAcentral's name for it is "partial small subunit ribosomal RNA". The record is from RNAcentral. Lineage: Eukaryota; Viridiplantae; Streptophyta; Magnoliopsida; Poales; Poaceae.
AUGGAACCACCGACACGAGAACAAGUUGAGACUAUGACCACUGUAUUUGAAGUGUGGAAAGCUUUGGAGAAGCAAUUUUCAGGAAAAUCAAAUAAGAUGCAGGCUACUCGCAUCAUGCAGGAGUUGACUAACUUGAAGCAAGGCUCAAAAUCAAUGACUGAGUAUGCAGGUGAGAUGAAGAGAUUGUAUAGGGAGUUGCAUUAUUACCGUCCUUUUCAACCCGUUGACAAGAAUGAUGUGGCUGUUCACCAUACCUGGUUUGAACCAUUUGUGGGCAAGCUCUUCUUUGAUGGGCUCAAUCAGGAGUUUGAUCUCCGCCGCCAGCUAAUAUUCUCCAAAACUGAAUGGCUAAGCCUUGAUGAUAUCAUUUCCAGUGUGAUUGAGGAGGAGACUCGUCUUGCUCAACCCAAUGAGCAUGUUCAAGAAAAAUCAGAUGCGCGUGCAGCCCUAUCCAUACAAGCUCGUUGUGCUCCUAAGACCUUUGCUAAAACAGAUAAAAGCAAACUUUUUUGCAACCAUUGCAAAAGGCCUGGACACACAAAGGAUUCAUGCUUUGAGCUGCAUGGUUAUCCAACUUGGUGGGAAAAAGGAAAGUCUCAGCCAGGGGGAGGUCAGGGAGCUCAUAAAAGAUAG